UUUAUACUCCCUUCGUCCGAAAAAGUUUGUCCCUCAAAUAAAUGUAUGUAGCAUCAAGUUAGUGUUAGAUACAUCCAUUUGAGCCAUUUAAGGGACAAGCUUUUCUGGACGGAGGGAAUAUGAG
This is a non-coding RNA of Triticum aestivum (bread wheat), 124 nucleotides long. The record is from Rfam. NCBI's taxonomy places the organism in Eukaryota, Viridiplantae, Streptophyta, Magnoliopsida, Poales, Poaceae.